UACGUAGGGACCAAGCGUUGUUCGGAUUUACUGGGCGUAAAGGGCGCGUAGGCGGCUUGACAAGUCACUUGUGAAAUCUCCGGGCUUAACUCGGAACGGCCAAGUGAAACUGUCAUGCUAGAGUGCAGAAGGGGCAAUCGGAAUUCUUGGUGUAGCGGUGAAAUGCGUAGAUAUCAAGAGGAACACCUGAGGUGAAGACGGGUUGCUGGGCUGACACUGACGCUGAGGCGCGAAAGACAGGGGAGCAAACGGG
RNAcentral lists this ribosomal RNA (253 nucleotides) under uncultured bacterium. RNAcentral's name for it is "partial 16S ribosomal RNA". It matches the Rfam family "Bacterial small subunit ribosomal RNA", at positions 524 to 776 of the family's 1533-position model. The record is from RNAcentral.